CCUCACUUGCUCUUCACCGUUGCCUCGGUCCAUCGGCGCCAAGUCUUGCUCAAGCUUCACCGUCACACGUCGUCCCUCGCUUCAAAGCCUCCGACUUGACCUUCACUCUUGCAACCGGUCCAUCAAGCCAAGCCUCAUCUUGAUCUUCUCCACCUUGGUCACAUGACUUCAUGUCAUGUCUCAUGUGCAAUGAGCUCCUCCAUCAUCACAUCAUCACCUGUGGACUAAUCUCCUGUGUAUCUCACAUAAACACUAUUAGUCCACCUAAGUUGUCACUCAAUUACCAAAACCAAACAAGGACCUUUCACGAUGGAAGUCAGCGCUUCAACCACCCCAGACGUGACUGUUGCCACGACGUACAAGCGUGCUCGCACCUAAGCCAAUCCAAGACGAUGUACAGGAGCUGAAUUCAGGAGCGCACACGCCAUCAUCACCAAAGUACCCUGUAACAAGACGGCUCGAGGCCAUGCCGGUACGGAGGCCUCGAGUAGGUCAGCACACCAUGCCCAUAUCGAGGCUUAUUCUAAUGCCUACACCCUGUAACCUAGGUAUCCCCUUGGAACUAGAAAAGGGGACACUGAGGACGACAUAUACAAGGAAGAUUCAGAGAACACAACACGUAGAAUACGAUUCACCCAACACCAUCGGCUAUGACUUAGAACUCUUGGCCACAUCCACUUGUAUUCACCUCUGUACAAGCACUUAGGUGCAAGAUAAUACAAAGUCUCCCCACCGCUGGACGUAGGGCCUUCUCUUGCCUGAACCAGGAUAAAUCUUUGUGUCAUUCUUGUAUCACCAUUCGGAAAAGGGAGAACGCACACAAAUUCACUUGUUGGUGUCACCCCCUAGGGCCAAAACACCGAUAGUUGGCGCGCCAGGUAGGGGUCAUGUGUGUUACCACAAAUUUCCCAUAUGUUUCCGGAUGGCCACUCACGUCUCACCGAUCCAAAUUGUCGAUCCCAAGGUAGACUGCCGACUAGCUUUCGUCGACACUUGGGAAUGCUAGUUCUAAAAAAGAAAAAAAGAGAAGAAGAAAAAAGAGAGAGAAAAGAAAAUUAUCUAGCCCAAGUGUUCUUCAAAGUCUUCAAAGUUCAAAAGAGAGAAGUAUCCCCUCAAGAAGCAAGCAAAUAAAGAUAAGGUUUCCAUCAUGUUCCCUUACUAAUGUUUUCACCCUCACUAUGUUAUACCCAUUGUUCCACCAUAUAUCCACCACCACAUACAUACACAUUCCCAUUAUAUACGUCCACACACAUGCACAUCAUGAUCUAAGGGUAUGGCUUCCCCUCCGAGGAUCCCAGUUUGAUUAGGAAACAUAUGCACGGUAAGUAUGCUAUAUCUUUGAAUUACCUAUAGCUCCACAUAGGCUUAUUAGUUAUAGGGAGAGAAGAGGGAACGUACGAUGCUACUCUGCCUUAUGCCAAAAAAUACCACAUAUCUUGAGAGGAGAGAAGGCAAAACACCAUUAUUGUCUUAGAGAGAAAUCCACAAAUACCACAUAUGAGAGACUUGAAAGGAUCAUGCAAAGGAAUCUCUAAGUUUUAUUUUGAAACCUUGCAAAACUCUAAAAUAAAGGUAGAUCAAAGAGCUUGAGACAUAGUGCUUGACUUGAUUAUUCUGCUUUUCAACUACUCAAGACCCAAGUGAAGGUUACAAGCCUCACGGCUGAAGGUAAUAUGGGUAAGUUGGAAGUUGAAAUGGUUGGUUCUAACUGAGAGGAGAAUUUUUAUUUGAACAUUGGUGUACUUUUAAGGUGUGAAAGCAUUAUAGCAACUCCUGAUCCAUCAUAACCAAACCACUAUUUGCUAAGAGACAAGCAAAGGAUAAGCUUGGGGGAGUUUGUUAAUGGUAAUUAACUCCAAUUUUUAACUGUCAAUUAACAUAGGAAGUGAUCUAAAACAAUGUAUAAAGUAGGGUUAUAGGGGUAUUCUAAUGAGUUCCACAAGUUGUGUUAUUCUCACUUGUCUUGCAGGAUAUUCAAAAUUUCACCAUAUAAAUGUAUCUCAAGUGAAGAAUCUAAGCACACUCUUGCGGAGAGCUUGUUAAGACGAUCAAGACGGACAUAUCAUUUGCUAUAUACAAAGCGCCAGAGAAAAAGUCCUCGAUGGAUACGACUUGGAAGGCUCUAGAAGACCCUAGAACCAUCAUCAACAUCACAAAACCAGGGACUAAACCAAUAAGAUUCCAUAGCUCUAUGAAAUAGUACUUUUCAGGGAUUUAUCCAAAAGCUAGGAAGGAAAGAAUCCAUCCACGACACGACACAUUGUGCAAACAGAUUAGAAAGUGGCAUUAGAAGGACAUAGAAAACACCAGAAGGCACAGGAAUGAAGCGGAAGACCAAAGGCUACUAGGUGGGGCCGACCGGCCCCACAUGCUAGGCUAGCUGGCCUAGUCCUCUGCCAGUUGGACUCCCCUUCACGUGAUGGCCUCCAACCGACCUCAACGACACAUCUUGACCAUUGUUUUAUGUCGGUUUGAUCCGAGGGCUACGGUUCAUCCCACUAGGCCAUAUAAGCAGAGGUAGACCCCCUAGAGGCAUCAUCAUAAUCAUAUCUCAUAUCCAUCAUUCAGUUCAAAGGUGUCCCACGAAAGGAUAACCUAGAGCUCCACCAACUAGGGCACAGCUAGAACAUAAGAAUAGGAAUUAGAGGAGUCAAGCAAUGCUUGGAUUCCGGAUCUAGUCACGAGGAGGCUAGGUACAACCUUAUACUUCUCUCUUGUAUUCAACAUUAUUAAUCUAUUUGUGUUAUUUGUCUUCUAGUUCAAUGUGUUUAUCUUCUAGUUCAAGUUUUGUUCUUCUAGUUUAUCAUCU
RNAcentral lists this long non-coding RNA (2809 nucleotides) under Sorghum bicolor (sorghum). Its description in RNAcentral is "long non-coding RNA (SBIC_LNC006911)". The record is from RNAcentral. Lineage: Eukaryota; Viridiplantae; Streptophyta; Magnoliopsida; Poales; Poaceae.